This 776-nucleotide long non-coding RNA is filed under the name Mytilus galloprovincialis (Mediterranean mussel). The record is from RNAcentral. Lineage: Eukaryota; Metazoa; Mollusca; Bivalvia; Mytilida; Mytilidae.
CUAAAAGUAAAAAUAUUACUUGAUACAAGAAUAAAGACUAUGUUUUCAGUGUCAUGAGUUUCAGUCAUCAUAUUUGUUGGACUUUGUUGUUUAAAAGUUUUUUGUGGUAAUAAGAUAUAGCAAACAGGAAGUCUUCAAUGAAAAGUCAGAAUAGUUCCUUUUUUGGUGGGAAUCUUGAAGGUACAGUAUUAAAUGGCAGAUUAAGAGUUUGCUCAAGUUUAAAACUAUAAUUGGGACACACAAACUGCUUUGUAUUUUCAGAUAAAAUAUAGAUGAAUAGGAUCAAUUUAGUUUAAAGAAAAAUCUGAUUAGCCUGCUAGCAUUCUAAAUUUAGAAUGUAAAUAAGCCCAAAAUAAAAAUGACCAUGAAAGGGAAGAAAACAUUAUUUUGCUGUUAAUAUUUAUUUAACUGUGUUAUCAUACAACUAAAUUUAUCUAAUUUGCAAACACUUUUACUCUCAAUGCUUUGCAUGCAUGUUCUCAACAAUGAUCAAUGAUGAUGUCAAGAAAACAUUCUUGUAAAAGAGAAGGAUGAAGCUAAAAACAAGUUUUCAAUGGAAAUAUUAAAUUCAUUAAAAAUAUUUAAACCAUAUGUGUUUUGUUUGUUGGAAUGAGUACUGAUAUACUUUAUUUGUAGUUCUAUAGAAUAAAAAUUGAAACAUUUGUUAUUGAUUAAAUCAGGAACAUUUGUAUUGACAGGACUCGAAACUACCUAAUUAUAGCAGAUUCUAUGUCCUUUCACAGUUAAUAAAUCAUGACAAGAAACAGAAACAGGCG